RNAcentral lists this unclassified non-coding RNA (158 nucleotides) under uncultured Phomopsis. RNAcentral describes it as "sequence contains ITS2". The record is from RNAcentral. Lineage: Eukaryota; Fungi; Ascomycota; Sordariomycetes; Diaporthales; Cytosporaceae.
CAACCCUCAAGCCUGGCUUGGUGAUGGGGCACUGCCUUCUAACGAGGGCAGGCCCUGAAAUUCAGUGGCGAGCUCGCCAGGACCCCGAGCGCAGUAGUUAAACCCUCGCUCUGGAAGGCCCUGGCGGUGCCCUGCCGUUAAACCCCCAACUCUUGAAA